UACGUAGGUGACCAGCGUUGUCCGGAUUUACUGGGCGUAAAGAGCGCGCAGGCGGUCGUUCAAGUCGAGUGUGAAAGCCCCCGGCUCAACUGGGGAGGGUCAUUCGAUACUGAUCGACUCGAAGGCAGGAGAGGGAAGCGGAAUUCCCGGUGUAGUGGUGAAAUGCGUAGAUAUCGGGAGGAACACCAGUGGCGAAGGCGACUCUUUGGCCUGUAACUGACGCUGAGGCGCGAAAGCGUGGGGAGCAAACAGG
RNAcentral lists this ribosomal RNA (253 nucleotides) under uncultured bacterium. Its description in RNAcentral is "partial 16S ribosomal RNA". It matches the Rfam family "Bacterial small subunit ribosomal RNA", at positions 524 to 776 of the family's 1533-position model. The record is from RNAcentral.